ACCAUGCUACAACCGCACAGAGCUGGGUUAAGUAUUGCUUCGGUAAUCCCCUGUGAUGGCGAGUCUAAGUAUAUGA
Listeriaceae bacterium is the source of this 76-nucleotide regulatory RNA element. The record is from Rfam. NCBI's taxonomy places the organism in Bacteria, Bacillati, Bacillota, Bacilli, Caryophanales, Listeriaceae.